GGUUUGUGGCUCAGUGGUAGAGUACUCGCCUCACAUGUACAAGACCCUGGGUUCGAUCCUCAGCACCA
Molecule: transfer RNA, 68 nt
Filed under: Marmota monax (woodchuck)
Lineage: Eukaryota; Metazoa; Chordata; Mammalia; Rodentia; Sciuridae
Description: tRNA.Val
Source: RNAcentral